This is a long non-coding RNA of Mercenaria mercenaria, 5782 nucleotides long. RefSeq lists it as uncharacterized. The transcript is spliced from 5 exons. The record is from RefSeq and is a predicted model, not a curated record. Lineage: Eukaryota; Metazoa; Mollusca; Bivalvia; Venerida; Veneridae.
CCAUCGUACAACAAUGUGCCAAGAGGUUGCCGUGUAGUGAAGAAGUCUGGUGAAUUUUGCAUAGUAGUUUAAUGUCAGGACGGAUACUUCUUUUUCUCAUCCGCAAACAUCGGUUCCCUAGCUAAUGGCUUGGCUCUAAGUGUUUCUAACCCUCCAGCAGGAAAAACACAAGUGCAGCCAACUUUACCAUCAGGGGAGGUGUUGCCAUUGGGAGCUGGUAGUGCAGGCUUUACGGCACCAACAAUAAAUGGAUGUUUAUAUUAAAGGACAGUUGUACAUUAAGGACCAGGCUUGGAAAGAUGGAUGUGAAUUUUCUUGUAUCAGCAAGGAUGCCAGUACAGGACUUUAUUCAUGCAAACACAACUUCAGCCUCCACUCAGUGUGUCAUAUAGACUUGAGUUCUUUGGUGUGGCAAUCAUCAACUGUAUUCUAUCAUUCUAGAGACAUUCCUUCUCGACCAUGCUGUUAUCAGAGAAAAGUUCAUGCGAUUGAAGGAACGUUGGUUCCUGUCCCUCAAGUCCAAAAUAUAGCGCCAUUGAGGAGGAGAUAGUAUCUACACCAGGAUAGCCACCUGUCGGAGGAGGCCCUAUUACAGCUCUAUAUUGGGAUGAUGUCAGCUUCUCAGAGCUGUAUACGCAGGGGACGGACAAAAUGUUGCCAAGUAAUGCAUACUCAAAGGACAGUUCAGUGUAUUGCUCAUCACAAUCUCUUGGAUUCACGCUAAAAACGCCAACAAGUGAAAAUCCAAUUACAUCUGCAAGUUCAGUUGUCAGUAUGCCUAAAAGCUCAGCAUCUGAUGCUGGUGAGGGAAGUAAGUUAGCUUCUGGAACCAUAGCAGAAACUGUUGAAAUAGAGGACAUUCCUGGUGAUGAAGGGUAGAUUGCGGGAGCUGUAGAUUGGAGAGGAAGCACAAAAAAUGUACUCUUGGUUCAACAAGAGGCAGAGCAGCCUUCUAGAUGACACCCUUGUGUCACUGAACACUAUUUAUAUAUAAUGUCUUUGUUUUAGAUAGUUAAUAAAUAUUUGUCACUGAUGUAUGUGAAAUUGGCUUUCUUUAGACUAAUAAUUUCAUUUUAUUGGCUUUAUUUUAGCUGCAUUUCAUGUUGAGUGAAUUAGGGUUAUCGGAGUCUUACUGAUUAGACUAGGCUGUAAGUUAAAAUUUCAGAUUCAGGUCUUGCUAACUGGCCUAGAUUUGUUUUCACCAUAAUAUUAUUAUAUCUGCAUCACUUGUUUCUUAAUGGAUAAUUGUUCAAAGUAAAAUUCAUGUACACAUGCCUUACUUAACCUUUAGCUAUGGAUUAGUCCAUCAUUCAAUUAAGGCAGUACCAUGGGUUGUUCACCUACCUUACUUAAACACAUAUAAACUGCUAAUAUGUUUUUGCCAAGAGCUGUCAACAUUCCAAUAAGAAUUUGAUUCAAAGACUCCAGCUAAAUUUAUUUUACUAUAAUUUCUGUUUGACACGUUGUUUUUUUACAUGAUUUUUAUUUUCUAGGUUCUGGAGGUGUUGAUUUACUAAGAAACUGUACUAGAUCUAGAUACAUUUAAAUAGAAAAUGUCUGUCCUGUCUUCAGAAGUUAUAUUCCGUUGAUCUUGUCCAGUGAGGGCAAAUAUCCAACUGUGAAUUUAUGUUCUAAAAGAUUUAUUAUGUCUCCCCCAGGAGACAUAUUGUUUUUGCCCUGUCCGUCCUUCCGUCCGUCCGUACGUCACACUUCAUUUCCGAGCAAUAACUGGAGAACCAUUUGACCUAGAACCUUCAAACUUCAUAGGUUUGUAGGGCUGCUGGAGUAGACGACCCCUAUUGUUUUUGGGGUCACUCCGUCAAAGGUCAAGGUCACAGGGGCCUGAACAUUGAAAACCAUUUCCGAUCAAUAACUAGAGAACCACUUGACCCAGAAUGUUGAAACUUCAUAGGAUGAUUGGUCAUGAAGAGUAGACGACCCCUAUUGAUUUUGGGGUCACUCCGUCAAAGGUCAAGGUCACAGGGGCCUGAACAUUGAAAACCAUUUCCGAUCAAUAACUAGAGAACCACUUGACCCAGAAUGUUGAAACUUCAUAGGAUGAUUGGACAUGAAGAGUAGACGACCCCUAUUGAUUUUGGGGUCACUCCGUCAAAGGUCAAGGUCACAGGGGCCUGAACAUUGAAAACCAUUUCCGAUCAAUAACUAGAGAACCACUUGACCCAGAAUGUUGAAACUUCAUAGGAUGAUUGGUCAUGAAGAAUAGAUGACCCCUAUUGAUUUUGGGGUCACUCGGUCAAAGGUCAAGGUCACAGGGGCCUGAACAUUGAAAACCAUUUCCGAUCAAUAACUAGAGAACCACUUGACCCAGAAUGUUGAAACUUCAUAGGAUGAUUGGUCAUGAAGAGUAGAUGACCCCUAUUGAUUUUGGGGUCACUCCGUCAAAGGUCAAGGUCACAGGGGCCUGAACAUGGAAAACCAUUUCCGAUCAAUAACUAGAGAACCACUUGACCCAGAAUGUUGAAACUUCAUAGGAUGAUUGGUCAUGAAGAGUAGAUGACCCCUAUUGAUUUUGGGGUCACUCCAUUAAAGGUCAAGGUCACAGGGCCUGAACAUGGAAAACCAUUUCCGAUCAAUAACUAGAGAACCACUUGACCCAGAAUGUUGAAACUUCAUAGGAUGAUUGUACAUGCAAAGUAGAUGACCCCUAUCGAUUUUGGGGUCACUCCAUUAAAGGUCAAGGUCACAGGGGCCUGAACAUUGAAAACCAUUUCCGGUCAGUAACUUGAGAACCACUUGACCCAGAAUGAUGAAACUUAAUAGGAUGAUUGGUCAUGCAGAGUAGAUGACCCCUAACGAUUUUAGGGUCACUCUGUUAAAGGUCAAGGCCACAGGGGCCUGAACAUGGAAAACCAUUUCCAAUCAAUAACUUGAGAACCUCUCGACCCAGAAUGUUGAAACUUCAUAGGAUGAUUGUUCAUGCAGAGUAAAUGACCCCUAUUGUUUUUGGGGUCACUCCGUUAAAGGUCAAGGUCACAGGGGCCUGAACAUUGAUAACCAGUUCCAAGUAAUAACUUGAGAACCACUUGACCCAGAAUGUUGAAACUUCAUAGGAUGAUUGAACAUGCAGAGUAGAUGACCCCUAUUGAUUUUGGGGUCAGUCUAUUAAAGGUCAAGGUCACAGUGGCCUGUUCAUGUAAAAUCAUUUUUUGGAAAUAACUUGAGAACCACUUGACCUAGAAUGUUGAAACUUAAUAGGAUGAUUGGACAUGCAGAGUAGAUGACCCCUAUUUAUUUUGAGGUCACUUGAUCAAAGGUCAAGGUCACAGGAGCCUGAACAGUGACUUGAGAACCACUAGGCCAAGAGUGUUGAAAUUUAGCGGGAUGACUGGACAUGCCAAGUAGAUGAUCCCUAUUGCAGCUAACCAUCAGUGUCUCUUUGACUUUCGCUCCUGACCCCUAUUGACUUCUUGCCUAUAGGACUUUGCAUUGGGGGAGACAUGCGCUUUUUUACAAAAGCAUUUUCUAGUUUAAGUUUAAAUGUGUCUGUUUUGAAUGUUUGUGAGGGGUAUACUCAUUUGCCCUUGUCCCUCAGUCUGUAUUUUUGUAAAUAAAGGUCAUUUUCCUUACACAUGUUUAAGUUGAUUUUUCCUAAGGCCAGGGUCACAAAGCAUGACUUUUUUUUUUAUACGCCCGAAGGGACGUAUUAUGUAAUGACGCUGGUGUCCGUCUGUCCGUCCGUCUGUCCGUCUGUCCGUUAGCAAUUUCGUGUCCGCUCUGUAACUCUUGAACCCCUUGCAGGAUUUCAAGGAAACUUGACACAAAUGUUCACCACACCCAGACGACGUGCAGAGCGCAUGUUCCGGAUGUCUCGCUUCAAGGUCAAGGUCACACUUAGGAGUCAAAGGUCAUAUCAGUUUGUUUCGUGUCCGCUCUGUAACUCUUGAACCCCUUGAAGGAUUUCAAAGAAACUUGACACAAAUGUUCACCACACCCAGAUGACGUGCAGAGCGCAUGUUCCGGAUGUCUCGCUUCAAGGUCAAGGUCACACUUAGGAGUCAAAGGUCAUAUAAGUUUGUUUCGUGUCCGCUCUGUAACUCUUGAACCCCUUGAAGGAUUUCAAAGAAACUUGACACAAAUGUUCACCACACCAAGACGACGUGCAGAGCGCAUGUUCCGGAUGACUAGCUUCAAGGUCAAGGUCACACUUAGGGGUCAAAAGUCAUAUCAGUUUGUUUCAUGUCCGCUCUGUAACUCUUGAACUGCUGGAAGGAUUUCAAAGAAACUUGGCAGAAAUGUUCACCACAUUGCAACGAUGUGCACAGCGCAUGUUCCGGAUGACUCGCUACAAGGUCAAGGUCACACUUAAGGGUCAAAGGUCAUAUAUGACUUUGCUUUGUGUAUAUUGCUCUGCAUUGCAGUGCUCUUGUUUUUAUUUGGCAGAUCUCUUUUUUUGUACUUACAAUAAUUUUUUUUUGAAUUACUUCCCUUUUAUGUUACUAUAAAUAGCUUAUUUUAUACUUUUUUAUUAUUGGCCGUACGGAAAAACCGAGACCACUUUUCUGCGGUACAACAUGGAUGGUACCUCCAAUUUUAAGGUGUAUUUUUACAUACCUGUACCUGAUAAAGAUUUUUUUGUAGACUUUGAAUUUUUUUUUGUGGACUUAGAUUUGUUUUUUGAAGUUUUCCUUUUGUUGUUCCAGUCCUUUGGGGCUUCAACAGUCAAGUUCUUAAAAUUUUGCUCCUAUCCUAUGAUGUAAGCCUUCGGGCGUAUAUUGCCCCGCUUGGCGGCGCUCUUGUUUUUUGGAUGUCUUGGUCAUAAUUUGAUGAUAUUUUUUUCCAUACUAAACAUGACAUUUGUUACUUAUUGUAAAAAGACUGUGAGAAUAUCAUUGCAAGCAUAGAGUGCAACCAAGCAAAAUAAUAGCAGACUCGGCUUGAUUCAGUUUGUUAAUGAGAGGUAAUGGAAUAUGCCCCUGCAGAAUUCUGUUGCAUAGAUAAUGUAUGUACUCCAUAAUCCCAAAUAAGGUUGUUUUAGUCAUCUGCACACUAAAUAGUUGGUCUAGAAUGGGCAGACUUCCACAGAUUGCAGUGCUUAUAAAGACCGUCUUUAUAAAUGUUUGUAACCAACUUCUUUUUUAACAACACUGUUUGUGCUUACACAUUAUCAAAAGAAAAGUGCAAAGACAUAUUUUUGCAAGAAAAAAUAUUUAGUCGGAUAAAGACUCAAAUGGUAAUGGUGGUGUAGAACCUAAGCUUCCGUGAUAAAUUAUUAUACAACAAUCAUUUCAUGGUGAAUAUGCCACCUUAAUGUCAAGCAUGGAUUUACCUUGAGAUGUUUGCAAAAUAAUGCAGUGAAGGUAAGGAAACUCUGCAGCCCCUCACCCCUUCAAAAAAUAUCUGAGAAUUAUUUGCAUAUAUGCAUACAUAUGUAUGCGACUUCCAUUUGUCCUGCGCUGUUUUUCCUGCUUAAAGCAACUGGGUGAAAUUUUUCAACAUAGUUAUUUCCACCAAGUUUAGCAUAGAAUAUAUAUGUGACACUGAAAAAAGAUAAAAUGGGUAAAAAUAAAAGUUAGAUAUUGGUAAAAUGCAAGAAGAAUGUAAAUUUUUAUGCCCCCCUUCGAAGAAGGAGGGGUAUAUUGUUUUGCAGACAAUCCGUUUCCGGAUGAUAACUCAAGAACGCUUGGGCCUAGGAUCAUGAAAGUUGAUAGGGAGGUUGGUCAUCACCAGCAGAUGACCCCUAUUGAUUUUGAGGUCUAUGUCAAAGGUCAAGGUCACAGUGACCCUGAAUAGUAAAACGGUUUCCGGAUGAUAACUCAAGAAC